GAUGAACGCUGGCGGCGUGCUUAACACAUGCAAGUCGAACGGUGAAGGAGGAGCUUGCUCUUCUGGAUCAGUGGCGAACGGGUGAGUAACACGUGAGCAAUCUGCCCUUGACUCUGGGAUAACAGUUGGAAACAGCUGCUAAUACCGGAUACGAGACGUGACCGCAUGGUCAACGUCUGGAAAGAACUUCGGUCAAGGAUGAGCUCACGGCCUAUCAGCUAGUUGGUGAGGUAAUGGCUCACCAAGGCGACGACGGGUAGCCGGCCUGAGAGGGUGACCGGCCACACUGGGACUGAGACACGGCCCAGACUCCUACGGGAGGCAGCAGUGGGGAAUAUUGCACAAUGGGCGAAAGCCUGAUGCAGCAACGCCGCGUGAGGGACGACGGCCUUCGGGUUGUAAACCUCUUUUAGCAAGGAAGAAGCGAAAGUGACGGUACUUGCAGAAAAAGCGCCGGCUAACUACGUG
RNAcentral lists this ribosomal RNA (468 nucleotides) under uncultured bacterium. RNAcentral's name for it is "bacterial SSU rRNA". It matches the Rfam family "Bacterial small subunit ribosomal RNA", at positions 28 to 507 of the family's 1533-position model. RNAcentral also lists the same sequence under 1 other name. The record is from RNAcentral.